RNAcentral lists this ribosomal RNA (428 nucleotides) under uncultured bacterium. Its description in RNAcentral is "bacterial SSU rRNA". It matches the Rfam family "Bacterial small subunit ribosomal RNA", at positions 29 to 443 of the family's 1533-position model. The record is from RNAcentral.
AACGAACGCUGGCGGCGUGCCUAACACAUGCAAGUCGCGCGCGAAAGUCUUCGGAUGAGUAGAGCGGCGCACGGGUGAGUAACACGUGGGUAAUCUGCCCUUAGGUCUGGAAUAACUCGGCGAAAGCCGUGCUAAUACCGGAUAAUACCAAUUCUCGAAAGUGAGUUGGGAAAAGCGGAGGCCUCCUUCGGGAGCUUCGUGCCAAAGGAUGAGCCCGCGGCCCAUCAGCUAGUUGGCGGGGUAAUGGCCCACCAAGGCUAAGACGGGUAGCUGGUCUGAGAGGAUGAUCAGCCACACUGGAACUGAGACACGGUCCAGACUCCUACGGGAGGCAGCAGUGGGGAAGUCUUGCGCAAUGGGCGAAAGCCUGACGCAGCAACGCCGCGUGUGUGAUGAAGGUCUUCGGAUCGUAAAGCACUGUCGGCAGG